GCUCCGGUGGCUUAAGUAGUUAGAGUGUCCGCUUCUGAUGCGGGAGGUCGAGGAUUCGAAUCCUAGCCGAGUCA
Potamilus streckersoni is the source of this 74-nucleotide non-coding RNA. The record is from the annotation of a GenBank genome assembly. NCBI's taxonomy places the organism in Eukaryota, Metazoa, Mollusca, Bivalvia, Unionida, Unionidae.